CUGGCAGGGAAGAAACACAGAGCUACUACAAUAGUGGACUUUAAACGACUGGAUUACAGGAAAGGAAGCAUGUUGUGAAAUUGGACCACUUGGAGUGUGGUGGGAUUUCCCCUGUGAAAACCUGUUUCCAUUUAUAUGCUACAAUGAGUGUUGGGGUCAGAGCAAGGGUCAGCCACGAUGCAGUGCCCCUUGGAGGGGGUUGGUGGCAGCUUGGCAGUGGCUUCAACCCUGAUUUUCCAAUCAAUAACCAAGAGCCUUAACCAGAACGAUAGUGGCAGUGAUGUGCAUCCAAUACAACAGUGAAUUUUCUUUAACAUCUUUUUUUAAGCAUGUGCAAGAUGCUUUGUUUAGCAUUUUAAUGAAUUUACAUUAAGAUUUGCAUAAUUCCUACUCUGUGUGGCUCAAGGUCAGGUACUAACGUCAUUAUUCUGGAUAUUUGUCAUUUUCAUUUAUCACUUUCUUUUUCUAGUUGGUAGUUCUACUACAGGUAAAUACAGCUUGAUUGCAAAUGUCAUUAUAGACAUUGUGAACAUUAUACACUACAGCAUUGCAUUUAUUCCUAACCAUUCAGUAAACAGAAUAAUCUGAAUUUGUGUGAAUCAG
Long non-coding RNA from Hemibagrus wyckioides, 603 nucleotides. RefSeq lists it as uncharacterized. NCBI's taxonomy places the organism in Eukaryota, Metazoa, Chordata, Actinopteri, Siluriformes, Bagridae. The transcript has 4 exons. The record is from RefSeq and is a predicted model, not a curated record.